UCUUCUGUGAUGAUAAACUAAGUGACUUUCGUUCUUCUGAAUUUAAUGAAGCCAGCCUUUACAUCCUGAGAAGG
Cheilinus undulatus (humphead wrasse) is the source of this 74-nucleotide small nucleolar RNA. RefSeq annotates it as small nucleolar RNA SNORD59. The transcript has a single exon. The record is from RefSeq and is a predicted model, not a curated record. NCBI's taxonomy places the organism in Eukaryota, Metazoa, Chordata, Actinopteri, Labriformes, Labridae.